GAUGAACGCUGGCGGCGUGCCUAAUACAUGCAAGUCGAACGCUGGAGAUCUAGCUUGCUAGAUCGAAGGAGUGGCGAACGGGUGAGUAAUACAUAAGCAACCUACCUACGAAGACUGGGAUAAUCUCUGGAAACGGGGACUAAUACCGGAUAGGUAAUCGGAAGGCAUCUUCUGGUUAUUAAAGGUUAAAAACACUGGUGGAUGGGCUUAUGGCGCAUUAGUUAGUUGGUGAGGUAACGGCCCACCAAGACGAUGAUGCGUAGCCGGCCUGAGAGGAUGAACGGCCACAUUGGGACUGAGACACGGCCCAGACUCCUACGGGAGGCAGCAGUAGGGAAUUUUCGGCAAUGGGGGCAACCCUGACCGAGCAACGCCGCGUGAGUGAAGACGGCCUUCGGGUUGUAAAGCUCUGUUGUAAGGGAAGAACGGUAGAUAGAGAAUAUCUAAGUGACGGUACCUUACCAGAAAGCCACGGCUAACUACGUG
Molecule: ribosomal RNA, 486 nt
Filed under: uncultured bacterium
Lineage: Bacteria
Description: partial 16S ribosomal RNA
Rfam family: Bacterial small subunit ribosomal RNA
Source: RNAcentral